CCUACGGGAGGCAGCAGUGGGGAAUCUUGCGCAAUGGGCGAAAGCCUGACGCAGCCAUGCCGCGUGAAUGAUGAAGGUCUUAGGAUUGUAAAAUUCUUUCACCGGGGACGAUAAUGACGGUACCCGGAGAAGAAGCCCCGGCUAACUUCGUGCCAGCAGCCGCGGUAAUACGAAGGGGGCUAGCGUUGCUCGGAAUUACUGGGCGUAAAGGGAGCGUAGGCGGAUAGUUUAGUCAGAGGUGAAAGCCCAGGGCUCAACCUUGGAAUUGCCUUUGAUACUGGCUAUCUUGAGUACGGAAGAGGUAUGUGGAACUCCGAGUGUAGAGGUGAAAUUCGUAGAUAUUCGGAAGAACACCAGUGGCGAAGGCGACAUACUGGUCCGUUACUGACGCUGAGGCUCGAAAGCGUGGGGAGCAAACAGGAUUAGAUACCCUGGUAGUCCACGCUGUAAACGAUGAGUGCUAGUUGUCGGCAGGCAUGCCUGUCGGUGACGCAGCUAACGCAUUAAGCACUCCGCCUGGGGAGUACGGUCGCAAGAUUAAACUUAAAGGAAUUGACGG
RNAcentral lists this ribosomal RNA (559 nucleotides) under uncultured bacterium. Its description in RNAcentral is "bacterial SSU rRNA". It matches the Rfam family "Bacterial small subunit ribosomal RNA", at positions 338 to 916 of the family's 1533-position model. The record is from RNAcentral.